This 473-nucleotide ribosomal RNA is filed under the name uncultured bacterium. RNAcentral's name for it is "bacterial SSU rRNA". It matches the Rfam family "Bacterial small subunit ribosomal RNA", at positions 40 to 507 of the family's 1533-position model. The record is from RNAcentral.
CGGCAGGCUUAACACAUGCAAGUCGAGGGGCAGCACGGGUAGCAAUACCUGGUGGCGACCGGCGCAAGGGUGCGUAACGCGUGAGCAACAUGCCCUAUACAGGGGGAUAAUCCAGGGAAACUUGGUCUAAUAUCCCAUAGUAUUUAGAGGAGGCAUCUUCUAUAAAUUAAAGCUUCGGUGGUAUAGGAUUGGCUCGCGUGACAUUAGCUAGAUGGUGAGGUAACGGCUCACCAUGGCAAUGAUGUCUAGGGGUUCUGAGAGGAAGGCCCCCCCACACUGGGACUGAGACACGGCCCAGACUCCUACGGGAGGCAGCAGUGAGGAAUAUUGGACAAUGGAUGGAAAUCUGAUCCAGCCAUGCCGCGUGCAGGAAGACAGCCCUAUGGGUUGUAAACUGCUUUUAUAUGGGAGCAAUAAGGUCUACGUGUAGACUGAUGAGAGUACCAUAUGAAUAAGCAUCGGCUAACUCCGUG